UAUUUAAGUUCUUAUCUCCUCUGGAGCAGAACCGGGUCGAGGCCUCGCAAGAAAAGCCAUAUGAGCGCCACUCCCCAAGGUUUCCCCAAGCCCCAAGGCCCAAGGGUUCUCCAUCGUCCAAGAAACCCUUGAUCAAGAAAACCUAGCUCGUCUUUCCUUUCAGCGAUGCUCUAUUCUCUCCGUCCCUCUUCUCACCUGCCUCUCCGCCGCUUCUUCUGCCACAGCUCCGCUCCGCCGGACAUGGCGAGAUACCGAGAGGUUUUCGCCAGGAGAAUGACCAUGGCCGGAAUCAAACCCCACCAUCGAAUCGCUUUGGGAGUCUCUGGCGGACCUGACAGCAUGGCGCUGUGUGUCUUGACGGCUGGGUGGAAAUCUGAGGGUCGUUUGGGCAAGAAUGAAACGUCGAACUUCGUAGACGGGCUUCUGGGAAUUAUAGUGGACCAUAGAUUGCGGCCGGAGAGUACAGAGGAGGCGACUCAGGUUCGAAACAGGGUUAAUAAGAUAGGAAUUCAUUGUGAGAUUGCAUGUUGUGAUUGGCCGGAUGGGAGGCCUAAGAAAGGUCAUUUGCAAGAGGCUGCUCGGGAGAUGAGGUAUCAAAUUUUUCAGGGUGUUUGCAUUAAGCAACAAAUAGGAAUCUUGCUUGUUGCCCACCAUGCAGAUGACCAGGCUGAACUUUUAAUUCUAAGGCUAUCUCGCAAUAGUGGAGUCCUUGGACUUGCUGGUAUGGCAUUUGUUUCACAAUUAUUUGCUACACAAAUGAAAUGCUUUGGAGAAAAUUCAGGCAAUAAUAGCGUUCUGCUUGUGCGGCCAAUGCUUGAAUUCUCAAAAGAUGACAUGUAUAAAGAGCUAGUGUUUUUAUCCAUGCAUGAAGUCAAAAUGAAAACAUGUGUUUUGGAUUAUUUUGAGAUUUGUCAAGGAAGCAAUCAAGAGUGGGUGGAAGAUCCAACAAACCAAAGUCCGUUGUUUGCUCGGAACCGAAUACGAGCCUGUUUAAGAAGCCUGUCAUCAUGUGUCUUUAGAUCAGAACUGCAAGGACUUAUCUCUGCUUGCCGGUUAACACGGACAUAUGUUGACAAUAUUUGCCAUCAGAUGAUAAGGCACUCUGUUACCAUCAUGGAGCAUGGGUAUGCUAUAGUUGAUUUAGAGAAGCUCAAUCCAUCAGAUGUUGAGGAUCUUUGUUUAUCAAAAUUUCUAGCAUUGAUCUUGCAGUUCAUCUCGCAACGGAAUAGGCCAAUUCGUGGUAGUAUUUCACAGCUGCUACUGGGCUACAUCCGCAACAUCCCGUGCAAGACCUCCCUUACUGCAGCUGGCUGUUAUCUUUGUCCUGCUCCACAGUCCAAGGGCAUGAAAAUCUUGAUCAGUUUUUCUGCUUCCUCACCACAGCCAACUAGAGUGGAGCUUUCAUACAAGUGCUCAUGUGAAGAACAGCAAUCAAAACUGCCUAGCGAGAUAGAUAAGAUAAUAAUGAGUGCAAAAUCAUUUUCUGAUCAAUCAGUCCCAGAUGCUUCUAUUGUACCCUUUAUGCAUGCAAAAUCUUCUAUGACUAUUCUAAGUGAAGCAAAGAGGCUGAACCUUAUCAGUGAAUCAACCUUUAAAAACAUUUGCUUGUUGCAAGAGGAAGAACUAGAGAAAUUUGGCACCAAGACAGAGACUAAACUUGAUGACCAGUUGAGGGAUAUGAAGCCUGCUCCAAGCAUAACAUUAAAUCCUGGGGAAUCAUGCCACUUUAUGAGCAGGUUCUUAGUUACAUGGAAACUUCGUAAAGAUGUUACCGAAGAUCAGCUUUCCUGGAAUAGAAAUCAAGGCCAUCUCUGUCAAUUUUGCAUGAUUGAUCAGGAGAAAACAGGUGCAGUUAGGCACAUGGUCGAUGCAGACUGGUUGUUUCUUGCAGAACUUUCUAAGAGCCUGAAAAUGGAAGAAUGUCAGGACAAUUCAAAUGCUGCAAUAUAUAAUCAGGAUGUAGCGCAAAAGGCUCAGUGUUCCAGAUACAUGCAAUUGUCAGCACAGGGAGCUAUUCAGGCCUUGAAAUCAAUUCCAGUUUCUGCAAGAAGAGCAUUGCCUGUAAUUGUUAAUUCUCAGGGUCUACUACUAAGCAUACCGAGCAUUUGUUUCAGGUGUUGUCCUUGCCUAUCAGUAGAUGCAGUAUUCAGGCCGAGAGUGCCCCUUGGAGGAGGUUACAGUUCAUAUAUUUGACUUCUGCAGGGGUCAGGAGGUUCAUCAGUUGUCAUGGUAACGCAUCCAUGGCUUAUGCGGUGCUCCAAGUCUGGGUCAUCACCUUUGACUCCAUGGUGAAGUUGGACAAAAGCUUUGAGAGUACACUCAUGCUCACAUGAUUGGAUGAUGAAACAUCACAUUUGAGAUCCAACCAGGGACUAACAGCAUGGAGACUGCAGAGCUAUGUGCGUUGGGUUCUGGGUACAGGGCCGGCAUCUCUCGAUGAAUCAUUGCAAGUUGGUAGGCACUAUCAGGUUUCUCGUCAUCCUGUCGUUUAACUUGUUGGAUAUCAUUAACCAAUGUAACGUAAAUGUGCUCAGCGUUACUCGUGCAAACAGAAUUGUAGGCGGAUGUUUCAAAUUAUGCAUAUUAUAAACUCUGUAGGCUAUACUGUAUUCGACCGUGUAGAACGAGCAUGCAUGCUAAAAAGUAGAGCAUCCAGAUAUUGUGUGGGUAACCCACGGUGAACAAGCCAAAAGAGGGCGAACAUUUGAGUUCGGGAAAGUAGUAAGACUCAUCAAAACUUCGCAAAAGCUUAAAAGGUUUAAUUGGAAUGAAUGGCAAAGAAUCUCCGCUAACAAAUAGGCAGCAGCUGCAGUAUGAAGGGAAAUACCUCCAAAUGCCGAGUGGCAGCCCACGGAUCGGUCUUAUACGAUCACGUGAAUAAUAGAGACGGCCACCGUUGGUGAACGUAUGCCAUCUUUUCCUUUCGCAUCGGGAGCCGCCUUCUCAGCCUUCGUGCGGAUGGAAGUAAAGAAAAAAAGAAAAAAAAUUCCCUGAUCAGUCGCGGCUAACUGCUGUGGCUGGUGGAUUCAGAAACUAGUUGCCGAACCAACAUAUAAAAGAAAAUGAACCUGAGGAGACCACUUCCUUUCACCAUAGAGAAGUUGCUUGCAGAUCUCAGAAGAACAGUGGGUCUCGAGGAAACACAGCAGCAAAAAUGAUCAAUCAAUUCACAAGCUACAAACCACCUCCUGAAUUUCUACGGUUGUUGUUUUGAAUCCAAACAAAAAGUAGAACUUCCUUAGGAAGUGAUUCUCUGGUAUUUUCUACAGCAAUAAGAAAAAGCCCUCGGGCAAGUCAUCUAA
Phoenix dactylifera (date palm) is the source of this 3302-nucleotide non-coding RNA. The record is from RefSeq and is a predicted model, not a curated record. NCBI's taxonomy places the organism in Eukaryota, Viridiplantae, Streptophyta, Magnoliopsida, Arecales, Arecaceae.